CCUACGGGUGGCAGCAGUGAGGAAUAUUGGUCAAUGGGCGCGAGCCUGAACCAGCCAAGUAGCGUGAAGGAUGACUGCCCUACGGGUUGUAAACUUCUUUUAUAAAGGAAUAAAGUGAGGCACGUGUGCCUUUCUGUAUGUACUUUAUGAAUAAGGAUCGGCUAACUCCGUGCCAGCAGCCGCGGUAAUACGGAGGGUCCGAGCGUUAUCCGGAUUUCUUGGGUUGAAAGGGAGCUUAGAUGGGUUGGUAAGUCAGUUGUGAAAGUUUGCGGCUCAACCGUAAAAUUGCAAUUGAUACUGGCAGCCUUGAGUGCAGGAGAGGUAGGCGGAAUUCGUGGUGUAGCGGUGAAAUGCUUAGAUAUCACGAAGAACUCCGAUGGCGAAGGCAGCCUACUGAACUGCCACUGACGUUGAUGCUCGAAAGUGUGGGUAUCAAACAGGAUUAGAUACCCUAGUAGUC
RNAcentral lists this ribosomal RNA (460 nucleotides) under uncultured bacterium. Its description in RNAcentral is "partial 16S ribosomal RNA". It matches the Rfam family "Bacterial small subunit ribosomal RNA", at positions 338 to 795 of the family's 1533-position model. The record is from RNAcentral.